UCAGGGUUGGAGCUAAACACUGCAGUGCAUUGGCCCCCCAGGGUAAGAUUUGAGGGACCCUGAUGUACAAGCUGUCAAAAUCAUUUCUACAGUGUAUGAUUGUAUGAUUGUUCUCACUGGGAUCGCCUCAAAUCAAAGCAGCCUAUUUGAAAACUCAAGAGGGCGACAAACACCUUCACAUGCAUCCACAGUGUCUCACGGGAGCGCUGUUGGUUUGUCCUCCUCCAGCUCGGAUGUGCUAACUGGGGCAAGCAGACGUUCUUACCUUAGAUGGGGCUGUGCACAGGUCAAGCCAAGUCAGAUCUGCCUCCUCAUUCAUUUGAGCUCUGGACUGAGUCAGACUUGACCGAUACCCCAGGGAAGGACAAUGUGCUCCGAACACCACAUCUGCUCCCUUCCCAGAGUCACCAUCAGGCAGUAGUUAUGCAGAGAGUUACAGAUUUGAGGAGGUGUGGUGCAAUGAGACGGACAAGAUGGGUGUGGCAUCAGUGAUUAAGCAGGAAGUUUUAUUUACUGGAUCAGUUGUAUCACAGUGCUCACUGGUCACAUUUCUUUGCAGCGGAUGGUGAAGAUCAAAGAUAUCAACACUGAUAAAUAUAGUUUUUCCUUGGCCAUGCACUGUAAUGUUCUGGCAUGUCUCUCUCUCUGUGUGUGUGUGUGUGUGUGUGUGUUUGUGUGUGUGUGUGUGUGUGUGUGUGUGUACUUGAACCGCCUGUGAGAUCAGAGUGAUCAACCAGAUUGGUUGUGAGUCAACCAGAAGGCCGUUCUGUUUUCUGUGAUGUGCAGUGAAGAAUAAAGCCACAGUAUAAAGCAUUGGAGCUGAUGACACCUAUUACACACUUCUAGAGCUUUUGACUCUGACUCACUUUGCUGUAAUAUCCUCUCAAACAGUAGCAGAUGGUACAGACCCUUUCACUGCCUUCAGACAUGUUUGUAGGUGAGUGCUGGUGUCUAUAGUGUGUGUCUUUAAACACAUAAGUGUAGUGUUGUACAUAAGAGGACUUUCCCCAUGCUAAUUAACCCCAGCUUGAUGCAGAUGUGUUUUUCUCUUGACUUUAGCACUAAAAAUGCUGAAAACCUUGAGAUGGAGACAUCCUCUUAUCUUUAACUUGUGAAGACAACACAACAUAAGAUUAAACGGUGCGAAAAAGUCCAAAUUAAAUGAAAUGUAAUUAUAUAUAAGAGGUGAAGUGAACAUUGAUUAUAUCGUUACAAUGGAACAUGUAAAUGUGUGGAAUAUAUUAGGCAGAAAGUGAACAGUCAGCUCUUGAAUUUCAUGUGUUGGAAGCAGGAAAAAUAGGCAAGUAAAAAGAUCUGAGUGACUUUGACAAAGGCCAAAUAAAAUAGGGAAAAUGAAAAGGACUGAGAUAAAUGCUGAGGUUUGGCAUACCUAUAAACUAAAUGCAAAGCUGAACUGAUGUCAAAGUGAGCUUCUGUCUCUAAAAAGUAUUAAAUGGCCAUAAAACCUUCUAAUACAGUUUUGUUUUGUGACAACAACUUAUUAAAGUGUUUAAAGUUAGGUUCAGGCUGCAGGAAAAUGUGGGCCAAAUCCAAUUUUUUUGGAUGAUAUGUGACUCAGAUCAUUUUAUUUUUCAUGCAGUGUGAAGAGCACAAACCACAUGGAAUCUGAUCUUUUUGAUUCUGAUUUGGGCUACUUCCAUAUGUGGUCCUAAAUCUAAAACAGGUCAGUUGUUUUGCAAUACGGCAUCAGUUUGAAUUUACGUCAUUCUAGAUCAACGUUCGUCAUGAUUUGGCACUGACGGGAGUCACUCCAAAGAUUUUACAUACCGGAAUCUUUGAUCAUGCUGUGAAUAUGAUAUACAGUUGCAGACGUAGUCAGUGGAGAAGAAGUGAGGUGUUAAACUCAUAAGUAUUACAGUUACAGCUCUAUACGAGCUAAACAUUCAAAAACUUUGCUCUCUCUUCAUCUUUGUUCACUUUAUCACCUGCUCACAAAUCUGCUGGCCUCCAUGCCACAACACCUUAAAAAAUUAACAUGUAAACGCUUACAUCAGUGGCCCCCAUACUUACUUCCGUAUGACAGUCAUGGUGUCUCAUUAUCGUUCUUUUGCACAUGCAAGAGAGUUCAGGACCAUGAUCGGUUCACACAGCAAUCUAAUAUUUGCCACAUUUAAAAAAAGAUGACGCGAAAAACUGAGCACUAAUGCUUGCUGGUUUAAUGUAGCCUAAAUUUGACCUCUGUAGAUCAGAAUGUCUCUGUUUGUGAAAUGCAAUCUUGAUAGUCUGUUAAAAGAAUCAUCUCAUUAUUCUGUCUGUCGAUGGUUGUCGAUACAGUGUCCCCGUAUGGUACAGCUUGAACCUCUCAGCACAGUCCUUGAAGGCCGUGAACAUCAACCUAUGAAAACACAAAGAUGAAGAACAGGAAAACAAGAGAGUCUGCUCUUUUUGAAAAACACAUUUGUUUUUAAUGGAUGUCUUAUGCAGUUCAUGUACUGGUUCAGAUGGAUGGGAUCUCUGUAGUUUUUUACUAGGUGUGGGUGCAUGAGCUUGAUGCAUGUGAUGUAAUUCUAACUUUAUGAAAAAAUGUUUCAAUUCAGGAUUAUGAUCACAAAGUAAGCCUGUGAACAUAAGUCUGUGCACAAAUUUACCUGACAUUUUCAGGGAAAAGUAAAUGUUAUUGGUUUGUUUUCUGCCUUCAUUUUGCUUCUGCCUGUGUCAGAAUGGUGGUGAAUCAGAGCUCAGCUAUCAUCCUUGUUUUUCAGCUAAUACAGUUAACAACAGGACUCAUAUCCAUCCUUCCACAGAGCCACACGUUCCUGUGGAAAACAUGGCAUAUCUGUCACUACAGCUUCCUGUGUUAAAGAAUUACACCCAGAAACGGAUGGGUCACAACAGGCCCUUCUCUCUCAAUCUUUCUGUUCUUUCUUUUUCUAUUGAUCAGAGAACACAUACUUGCUUUUUAACUUGGCCAGUUCUUGAUAAACAUUAUUGCCUUGUUAAACUUGCUGCUGUUUUGUUGCCAUACUUCAUAAAACACAAUUAGGCGGAUGUUCAGUUAAA
Molecule: long non-coding RNA, 3021 nt
Organism: Cyprinus carpio (common carp)
Lineage: Eukaryota; Metazoa; Chordata; Actinopteri; Cypriniformes; Cyprinidae
Exons: 4
Source: RefSeq, a predicted model, not a curated record